GUAGGUGAACCUGCGGAAGGAUCAUUAAUGAAACUUGGGAAAAUUGAUGCUAGAACUUGUUCUAUGCGCUUUUCCCUUAAUCCAUACACACCUGUGCACUUUGAAAGGAGAGAACGGCUUAACGGCUGGUCUGUCCUUUCUCAUACAAACCCUUCUUGUAAAACGAAUGUUCAUUGGCCGAAAGGCUCUAAAAAAUACAACUUUUAACAACGGAUCUCUUGGCUCUCGCAUCGAUGAAGAACGCAGCAUC
This 250-nucleotide unclassified non-coding RNA is filed under the name plant metagenome. RNAcentral describes it as "partial contains small subunit ribosomal RNA, internal transcribed spacer 1, and 5.8S ribosomal RNA". The stretch from base 199 to 250 matches the Rfam family "5.8S ribosomal RNA", at positions 1 to 52 of the family's 154-position model. The record is from RNAcentral.